CCAUAGCUUCAGAAGCCGUUCGUAUCUGCUGUGGUCUAAGCUCUUGGCAAGAGGUAGUGGUGGGAGUCAGUCUACUAUUUUUCAUAAUGAAAAAAUGAGUGAAAUUUUUGAAAUGCAGGUGCCACAAAAUUCAGGCAAGUUACAGAAGGGCACCUGGAGCUGAAAAAGGCUGAGAAACCAGUGUACUAGGUACAGGAAGCCAUGAUGAUAGCUUUCUCUACAGCAUCUUAAAUAGCAACUGGAUAUAUUUUUCAUGCCUGUUAAUGGGGACUGAUUUCAGAAAUGCUCCGGUGAAGACAUUAAGUAGGACUGGAAUUGUCUCCUCGUUUUAUUCACCUUAGGCCUAAAGGCCUCAAGUUGCAGUUUGUUCAUUACUGUACCUGCCAGUUUUCAGGGACUCUCCAGCGCUUGACACUCCUCACUUCCCUCUCCAGCGCUCUGCGCCGUCUUCCCCAGGGCACUAAAGUUCCUGGUUAUGCCUCUGGCUUUGCUUACACAAAAAAUUGACCCAGUUUACCUCUGGUUUACUCAAUCUGGCCAAUUUAAGUAGUGCACACCAAUUCACAGGUGGUUUUCUUGGUGUAGCUUGUGUUGAUAACUUUUUUAAACCAAUUUUAAUUAAAUAGGCACAAUAUCUGGCUCGGUGAGGCCUGAAACAUUAUUUCCCACACCCUUUGCAUAGUCAUGCAUGCACAUAGGAAAAGAAAGGAGAAAGUGCUUGAUGAAGUUACGGAACCACUUUGAUCUCAGUUAAUUUACUACAUAUCUGCUCCCUGACAUAGGAAGUUGCUUGGCUUACCUUUCUAGUAGGAUCUAUUCAUUUAGCAAUAGCAGUUAUAAUUAUGCUUUAAAAAUACUUACAGUAAAAUCUGAUUUCACAUGCUCCUGCAUUUUGGGGGGAGGGGAAAAAUCUUGACUAGAAAGUCUCACUUCUUGAAUGAAACUUUCCGUGCUUCAAAGCUCUCAAAGCUAAACAGAAUUAUUGAAAACUAGGGUUGGAAGGGACCUCAGGAGGUCACCUAGUCUAAUGCCCUGCUUGAAGCAGGACUACCCCCAACUACAUCACCCCACCAAGGCUUUUAACAUUUCCAAGUGAACAUAAGUAAUAGGUUUAGAUGCCAAAAAUGAGUCCAGUAAGGCAGUUAUUUUAGUACUGUAGUGUAUAUGAAUCAUUGUGUUCCUGUGAACUUGAACGUGUAGGAAGAAUUAUAUUUGUCAAUCUUCUUUUGUUAAAUAGAAACCAAAAGACUUAUCUAGGCAGAAUUGUGGUGGGGGAUAUUUAUUCCAGUUUUUGCUAUAAUUUUAAAUCUUCCAAUUUGAAUGUUGUAUCACUGGGAUUUUUACCUUUAAAUGGGUAAAGUAUUGUCAUGAAAUACUGUAUGAUGCACACCCAAAGAGAAAGUACAAUGUAUUUUAAGGUUGGGAAAUUAUAUUAGAGCAAAUAGAAGCAAAAGUGUCUAGCCAAACCAAUAAUUACCCUUCCAUGAAUACUAGAUUCUGUUUCUCACCUGUCUAAACGCUUUCCUCUGGUGAGAUAGUAUCAUCUUUUUACAUUAAUCUUAGGAUUUAGUAUGGGAUAUUUUAAAAAUUGCUCUUCUGUGUAAAGUUAAGACUAACAGUCCUGAUUUCCUCAAUGCUGGAAAAAGCCCCUCUUUUUCCUGAUUUACAUACUUAGAAACAUGUUUCUAUUUUAACAAUGAUUGAUGGAGGUUGGGUGUUUUGCUUUUGUUUUGGCGAGUCUUUGCUUUUACACUGGUAUGUGGUAUCAUAAGUGGUAGGUGAUUUCCCUUGUGGAGUGGGGGGUGGGGUUCCAAAGAGGAAAUCAUCCACUAUGAAUGCUUUGGGCUUGAUUCAGUACUCUGUAAAGUCAAUGAAAAGACUCCCAUUCAUCUCAGUGUCAAUUGGAUUGGAUCCUUAAAAUGGCUUUUCUUGGGGAAACAAGAAAGAUUAAAAAUAGAUUUAAAAAAUAAAUAAAAAAACAAGACGGCUUAAAAAUAGAAUGAAAAGUUUUGACUUUUAAGCUGCUAGUUCAGGUCUAGUAAAGGCUGGUAGGGAAUAAAAGUCGUAACUGUUUGGGAACCUUUUGGCCUUUUUGAAGAUAGGCUAGUAUGAUUUGUGGUGGAAAAGCAUCAAACCCUACUUUCCAGCUUUUCUUGUGCUGUUUUCAAGGUUGCUUUGAAGACUGUUUGUUGGCUCUGUUAAUAUCUUUGGAAAUGGUGAUUUGUAUUGGACAUGGAACUUUUGUAACUCUUGGAAAGGAUUUCUAAAUGUAUUGUCUACAGAACUAACCGUGGGUAUUUUUAGAGUCCAAAAUGUGAACUGAUUCACUAAUUGAGAAAUUAACUGUUUUUUCUUCUUCUUUCAGCGCUACAACUUGUUGUGAAGCAUUUACAGCUGCUCCACUUGUGCAUAUUUUCAAACAGGCAGGAUCUUUUGAAAACGAUACCUCAUGUUAUAUUAUUAAAAUGGCUAUCCAUACAAGGCUGAGUGUAAAAAUGAAAAUGCUGACAGGUUCAAGCAGGACAGUUUCAGGAAUGUAUGACUUGAGAGAGGCAGCCAGACAGACAAUCCAAAUGCUUCAGUUGGCAGGAUGAAGUGAUAUGCUAAUGUAAGAGAAAAGGUGGGUGUACAAUGGCAAGGAAAUAAAUACCCGUUAAAGAGGUG
Long non-coding RNA from Alligator mississippiensis (American alligator), 2664 nucleotides. RefSeq lists it as uncharacterized. The record is from RefSeq and is a predicted model, not a curated record. NCBI's taxonomy places the organism in Eukaryota, Metazoa, Chordata, Crocodylia, Alligatoridae. The transcript has 2 exons.